CACGAACCGGACAAACGUUAUUCGGAAUUAUUGGGCUUAAAGGGUGCGUAGGCGGUGUGGUAAGUGAGGUGUGAAAUCCCUCGGCUCAACCGAGGAAUUGCGCUUCAUACUGCCAUGCUAGAGGGAGACAGGGGUAAGCGGAACUGAUGGUGGAGCGGUGAAAUGCGUUGAUAUCAUCAGGAACACCGGUGGCGAAAGCGGCUUACUGGGUCUUCUCUGACGCUGAGGCACGAAAGCUAGGGUAGCGAACGGG
This 253-nucleotide ribosomal RNA is filed under the name uncultured bacterium. RNAcentral's name for it is "partial 16S ribosomal RNA". It matches the Rfam family "Bacterial small subunit ribosomal RNA", at positions 524 to 776 of the family's 1533-position model. The record is from RNAcentral.